UAGGGAAUCUUCCACAAUGGGCGAAAGCCUGAUGGAGCAACGCCGCGUGUGUGAUGAAGGGUUUCGGCUCGUAAAACACUGUUGUAAGACGAAGAAUGACAUUGAGAGUAACUGUUCAAUGUGUGACGGUAUCUUACCAGAAAGGAACGGCUGAAUACGUGCCAG
This 165-nucleotide ribosomal RNA is filed under the name uncultured bacterium. RNAcentral describes it as "partial 16S rRNA". It matches the Rfam family "Bacterial small subunit ribosomal RNA", at positions 355 to 511 of the family's 1533-position model. The record is from RNAcentral.